Molecule: long non-coding RNA, 934 nt
Organism: Ruditapes philippinarum (Manila clam)
Lineage: Eukaryota; Metazoa; Mollusca; Bivalvia; Venerida; Veneridae
Exons: 3
Source: RefSeq, a predicted model, not a curated record
GAUCUUGCAGGGAACUGCAGCCUACCGAGCGCCCCCUAUCAGCCGACAACAAGAUUAAUAGGAAACAAAUUUUUUUUGCCAUUUUAGAAAAAAGAUAUCUUACAAUACAAACAGUUUUCUUUCUUUUGGAUAUAACUAAUGUCAGACACAAACUAACUUACAACAGAUUUUGUCAUUGCAGCUGCAAAAUUAGGAACUUUAUACAAUACUAUAGUAGCUAUAGGCAUAACAUUUCGUUUGCAUUAAUUCUAUGCAUAGGAAAAAGGCGGUCAUUUUGGAAGAUGAAAACUUGUGGUGUCACACAAAAAUAUGGAUAAAAAACAAUAUCAAGGCAUCUAGACUACUGAUAGAUGGUAUACUGAUAGACGUUAUCUCGCAGAAAACUGAAAAGAGCAGCAAAGAAAGGACAGAACGUAAAAAUCAGCAACUCCGAUGAGAUGGUAAAAAGCAGAUGAACGGGAGAUAAUAAAAUGCAGAUGGACGGCUUCUUUGAUUGUGAAGAGUUUGCUAUUAGUUAUGGGACGAGGGCAUUCCAAGGAAAUGACAUACAUGAGUCUUUGAAGCAGUAUGCCAUUCAUUGCCUAAGUAUAGAGAUUCAACAUUUAAAGAUUAUAGGAAUAAAAAAAGGUGUAGCUCCAGACAGACACUGAAAAGGAAGGCAAAGAUGUUUUCAGACUGACAUAAAGCCCUAGUUUCUACAACUAGAAAUAUAUUCCUAACAGCAAGCACGAAUAUUUCCAGAAUUAUUCCCCUUUACUUGUUUGUUUUAUUUGCAGGGAUGUUUAUGAAAUGAGCUAUGCACGUACAUUAUGAGUUUUCAAUGUUAUGAUGUGGUGGCAUAGAUUUUUUCACAAAUUUUAAUCUUGUUGUAUGUUCUUGAUUAAUCUAGUCAGCUUUUGUUUGUAAAAAAUAAAAUAAAAAUAAAUAAAAUUUA